AUCACUUCUCAGCCUUUUGGCUAAGAUCAAGUGUAGUAUCUCUACAAGUGUAGUAUCUCUCCAUUUCUAGAGUUCUGCAUGGGUUCCUUAAGUAUGUGAUCUCUGUACACCAGAUCACCUUCAGGGACUGGUGUAUCAAAU
RNAcentral lists this small nuclear RNA (141 nucleotides) under Ophiophagus hannah (king cobra). RNAcentral's name for it is "U2 spliceosomal RNA". It matches the Rfam family "U2 spliceosomal RNA". Rfam says of the family: U2 is a small nuclear RNA (snRNA) component of the spliceosome (involved in pre-mRNA splicing). Complementary binding between U2 snRNA (in an area lying towards the 5' end but 3' to hairpin I) and the branchpoint sequence (BPS) of the intron results the bulging out of an unpaired adenosine, on the BPS, which initiates a nucleophilic attack at the intronic 5' splice site, thus starting the first of two transesterification reactions that mediate splicing. Lineage: Eukaryota; Metazoa; Chordata; Lepidosauria; Squamata; Elapidae. The record is from Rfam by way of RNAcentral.